GAUGAACGCUGGCGGCGUGCCUAAUACAUGCAAGUCGAGCGAAUGGAUUAAGAGCUUGCUCUUAUGAAGUUAGCGGCGGACGGGUGAGUAACACGUGGGUAACCUGCCCAUAAGACUGGGAUAACUCCGGGAAACCGGGGCUAAUACCGGAUAACAUUUUGAACCGCAUGGUUCGAAAUUGAAAGGCGGCUUCGGCGGUCACUUAUGGAUGGACCCGGGUCGCAUUAGCUAGUUGGUGAGGUAACGGCUCGCCAAGGCAACGAUGCGUAGCCGACCUGAGAGGGUGAUCGGCCACACUGGGACUGAGACACGGCCCAGACUCCUACGGGAGGCAGCAGUAGGGAAUCUUCCGCAAUGGACGAAAGUCUGACGGAGCAACGCCGCGUGAGUGAUGAAGGCUUUCGGGUCGUAAAACUCUGUUGUUAGGGAAGAACAAGUGCUAGUUGAAUAAGCUGGCACCUUGACGGUACCUAACCAGAAAGCCACGGCUAACUACGUGCCAGCAGCCGCGGUAA
RNAcentral lists this ribosomal RNA (515 nucleotides) under uncultured bacterium. RNAcentral's name for it is "partial 16S ribosomal RNA". It matches the Rfam family "Bacterial small subunit ribosomal RNA", at positions 28 to 523 of the family's 1533-position model. The record is from RNAcentral.